ACGGAAGGCAGCAGUGGGGAAUAUUGGGCAAUGGGCGAAAGCCUGACCCAGCAACGCCGCGUGAAGGAAGAAGGUCUUCGGAUUGUAAACUUCUUUUAUGAGGGACGAAGGACGUGACGGUACCUCAUGAAUAAGCCACGGCUAACUACGUGCCAGCAGCCGCGGUAAUACGUAGGUGGCGAGCGUUAUCCGGAUUUACUUGGUGUAAAGGGCGCGUAGGCGGGGAUGCAAGUCAGGUGUGAAAUCUAUGGGCUUAACCCAUAAACUGCACUGGAAACUGUAUGGCUUGAGUGCUGGAGAGGUAGAUGGUAUUCCUUGUGUAGCGGUGAAAUGCGUAGAUAUAAGGAAGAACACCAGUGGCGAAGGCGAUCUACUGGACAGUAACUGACGCUGAGGCGCGAAAGCGUGGGGAGCAAACAGGAUUAGAUACCCUGGUA
Molecule: ribosomal RNA, 437 nt
Filed under: uncultured Oscillospiraceae bacterium
Lineage: Bacteria; Bacillati; Bacillota; Clostridia; Eubacteriales; Oscillospiraceae
Description: partial 16S ribosomal RNA
Rfam family: Bacterial small subunit ribosomal RNA
Source: RNAcentral